Rattus rattus (black rat) is the source of this 599-nucleotide long non-coding RNA. RefSeq lists it as uncharacterized. The transcript is spliced from 3 exons. The record is from RefSeq and is a predicted model, not a curated record. NCBI's taxonomy places the organism in Eukaryota, Metazoa, Chordata, Mammalia, Rodentia, Muridae.
CUUAAAAUUUGGGGGAGAAAGUAGAGAAAAGUAAACCACUAACCAAGCCUUCACCUACUGCUCAUCCUGUUCCUCUGCUCCAGUAUUCCAACCAUCAUCUAAGCUACCACCUUCUCUUCCAGAUUAUCCAACCGCCUCUUCAUUCUUCAUCCACACUCCUCCUUUGGCUCUGCCUUAGGUGGCUCAUCUUGCCAGACUUCACACUGAACAACUGCCAAGGAUGUUGCAAUGCAUGAGCUGUACGCAGGUUUCAGAAGCAAUGUACCUCUAAAACAAGCCAAUCAGCAGAGAAGAAACAAAAGCAACAUGGCGUCUUCUACCUCCAGCCUCGCAGCGUCCCAGAGCUCCUCUGCAAUAAUGUCUUAGUGAAAAGCCAGUGACUGCAAGCUACAUCUUGUCCACAGGAAGAGGAGGCAACAGGGUUGCUGCACCCAUGAGAAGGUAUGAAGGAACUCCUGAGGCCACGAUGCAUGGAAGCUUCUAGAAGAGGCCUCCCUAGUCAAGAAGCAGAGCAGCGAAUGAGCCUAAAGUCAUGGUCCAGCCUCCUCUUUAUUUGCUGCCAACCCUUGUCUAAGUGCUCUCUUAACUGCAGUCCUAAA